This 1611-nucleotide unclassified non-coding RNA is filed under the name Hevea brasiliensis (rubber tree). The record is from RNAcentral. Lineage: Eukaryota; Viridiplantae; Streptophyta; Magnoliopsida; Malpighiales; Euphorbiaceae.
AAGUUUCAAUAUUGUUGAUGUGAAGCCAGCAAACAUGGAAGAUCUGACUGGUGGGCGUCUCAACAUUUUGUGUGACACCCUGCAUAUAUUAGUUUAUUAAUUGUAAUCAUCUAGGAGUUAAGGGAGUAAACAAUAUUCUGGUUAAAUAAAUUUAGAGCCUUAUACUUGGUAUACGGUCUUCCCCACAUUCAUUCCCAAUUUUAUUUUUCUUCCAUUCCCCUUAUUGAAGGCUGUGGGAUUUGGUGAGAGGCCAUUUUUCUGUUUCUCAUUGUUUCUUGCUGUUGUCUACACUUGAUCAUUGAAGCUUGUUACUUUCUAGUAGAAUUUUAAACUUUAUUCAUUUUUUUUGGCCAUAUGUAACUAUUGCAAAUAUUUUUACUAUGUUCAUAUAUGCAGAGGUGAUAACAUCAGCAGAAUUUCACCCAACUCAUUGUAAUAUGUUAGCAUAUAGUAGUUCAAAGGGCUCAAUCCGUUUGAUUGAUAUGCGGCAGUCUGCUCUAUGUGAUAGUCAUAGCAAACUGUAAGUUUUCUGGGUUAUCUUGGAAUGAAACAUCCUUGUAACUUUGAAGGCUGCAUAAGAUAUCUUUUCAUUUGUUUAGGAUUGACUUCUGUAAUUAUUCUUCUUGUUCUUUGCCUUUAAACUCUGUAAUGAUGCAGGUUUGAGGAAAAGGAAGUGCCUGGUUCAAAGUCCUUUUUCACUGAAAUAAUUGCCUCAAUCUCAGAUAUUAAGUUUGCCAAGGAUGGAAGGCAUAUACUUAGUCGUGAUUACAUGAAUCUCAAGGUUCUAGUUUUCACAUUGUGUUAUUAAUUUUUCAAUCUCUGUACUCUGUUUCAAGCUAUACACUGAAAUUUGCUAUCUUGCCUGCAUAAUUUGUUAAUGCAAGGUGCAACUAAUUUCUAGAAGAUCUACACUUAUAAUAUUUUUAGUGUUCAGAGUAAACUAAUGGGAAUGAUGAGCAAGUGGAGUAAACUAACGGGGAUGAUGAGUAAGUCUUAUUGAUGGAAAAUUAAACACGAUAAUGGGGGGAUAUGUGAGUUGUACAACAGAAAAAUUGUUGCAUCAUGGCAUUGUAGUUUCCUUUGUGCUUUUAAUCCAUUCUCUUCCACCAUGGCUACCAUUCUCUCAUGUAGUUUGGAUUUCUUGAUUAUCAGUUGUGGGACAUAAAUAUGGAUUCGGGGCCAGUUGCUUCAUUCCAGGUUCAUGAAUAUCUGAGGCCUAAGCUUUGCGAUUUAUAUGAAAAUGAUUCCAUCUUUGACAAAUUCGAGUGUUGUCUUAGUGGAGAUGGGCUUCGAAUGGCGACUGGUUCUUACAGCAAUCUAUUCCGUGUUUUUGGCUGUUCCGAGGGGAGUACAGAAGCAUCAACAUUGGAAGCCACAAAAAAUCCAAUGAGGUAUGUCUGAGCAUCUAUUAAUGCAACAGAGUUUAUACCAAGGAUUUGUCUACUUAUUCUUGAUACACAAAGCUUGGUAUUGGCGGACGUUUGACUAUUUACCUUGUUAUUUGAGUAGAGAUAGAAAAAGUGUAUUAUCAUGUUGAUUUUCAGAUAGAUAAAUUGACUAUUGGUUAAUUUAUAUCAUGCACACUUCCAGGAGACAAGUUCAAACCCUGUU